RNAcentral lists this microRNA precursor (150 nucleotides) under Podarcis lilfordi (Lilford's wall lizard). Lineage: Eukaryota; Metazoa; Chordata; Lepidosauria; Squamata; Lacertidae. The record is from RNAcentral.
AUGAGGUGACCUGUGAUCCUCAGAUGAACGGCGAUAGAAAAAUUCAAGAAAUAAUAAAAUAAUAAUAAUUUCAAACUGAAAUUAUUAGUAUUUUAUUAUUUCUUGAUUUUUUCUAUUGCCCUUCAUCUGAGGAUCACAGGUUUACAAUAU